CAGUCGUACUGGCGGGCAAUCAGCCUUUUGGGUGUGAUUAUGUGGGGCGUGAGGAGUUAAUCACCCUCAUCUUUACAUAUUCGUACUCUGGGGUGUACUUGGACGUGCGGUAGGUUAACAUCAAUUUCGGACGUCAUAAAAUGGCUGGAGGAAUGUAGCUUCGGUCUCGUACUGAAGUGUUAUAGCCUUUGGUAGAUGUGAUGAUUGGGAUUGAGGAUUGCAACGGAUACCCUUCGGGGCUACCUGUCUGAUCUCUGAAAGUUGCUCUGGUGCCGAAAGCUUGCUUACGGUAUUAAAGUUGACGUUCAACAGGUUAGAACGGGAUAAA
RNAcentral lists this ribosomal RNA (328 nucleotides) under Glomus sp. Its description in RNAcentral is "partial large subunit ribosomal RNA". The record is from RNAcentral. Lineage: Eukaryota; Fungi; Glomeromycota; Glomeromycetes; Glomerales; Glomeraceae.